Molecule: RNA transcript, 4789 nt
Organism: Myxocyprinus asiaticus (Chinese sucker)
Lineage: Eukaryota; Metazoa; Chordata; Actinopteri; Cypriniformes; Catostomidae
Exons: 5
Source: RefSeq, a predicted model, not a curated record
UUGGUACACCUCCUCCUGUCGCAUUACCCUUGUGUUGUGUCUGUCAGCUAGUUGCUUCUUACAAAACAUCCCGAAUUAAAAUAUGAAAUUUUGUCUUUUAAUUGUUGUUGUCUCAGGAAGGACCAUCCGUGAAUAAUCUGCUUCACCUCUGUAUGUUGGGGAUGUGACCCUCUCUCACAUUAUGAGAGCAGCCAUUCAUGUGAUCAUGACAGUCCACCCCAUCCUGAUCCUGCUGCCCAUCCUGGGGUUCCGUGUGCUUCCGUUUGCAUCGGCCCAUUUGGAGAAUAGCCUCAGGAUAGUGGCUAAUCUGACUGUGGAAAACCCAGGGGAAUGUGAUGUGAAAUUGUAUCACGUCUUAUCCUUGAAGGACGUGCGCUUUCAAAGGGGGCCAUGUGUUUCACAUUUAAGAUGAAAGGGAGUCUUGGGCCUGGCUGUUCUGCUUACGAGUCAGGCUCUGCUUAAGCAGGCCGUACCCUUCUCCAGUCUUCGUCAAGACUUGCUCCUUUUAAAUUAAAUCACUUUGGUUUUUUCCCCUCUUGCUUUGGCCACACACGUUGCACUUGACUAUCUCACCACCUCUGUAAACACGCAGACAGCAGAAAUGACCCCGGGCCACAUUGGCUUUGUGUUCUUGGAUAGAGUGGUUGGCCCUGCCUCUUCUCAUCCACACUCCACCAGCCCCCACCCAAUGACACACACACACACACGUACACUGUCAGUAUUGAGUUUCUCUGUUGCUCACAUCGCUGUUGUGUUAACUGAAUGGAGAUCGAAAGCAAGGUCAGAAUCGCCACCGCCAUCUGGAACUCUGAAAUGUUUGGAAUGAAGGGGGUGCUAUAAAUACAUAAGCAUUCCACAUUCCAGUGCGGGGAACGGUGUGUUUUUGACACGUCAAAGCCCAAACAUACUAUAGGACGACCUGUGGUGACUGCAAAAGGGGGUUGAAAUUAGGCCAGACUCUCUUUGGUUUCACACCGGCCUCCGUUUGCCGCCUCCACCUUCUGCGGAACAAUUCACCCAAAAAUUUAAAUUCUGUCACCCUCAUGUUGUUCCAAACCCAUAUGACUUUAUACCUUCUGUGGAACACAAAUGGAGAUGUUAGGCAGUAUGUUAGUCUCAGACGCUAUUCACUUUCACUGCAUCUUUUAUCCCAAAAAUUAAAGUAAAUGGUAACUGAGGCCUAACAUCUCCUUUUGUGUUCCAUGGAAGGAAAAAAAUCAGGUUUGGAACAACACCGGGUGAGUGAAUGAUGACAGAAAUUUCACUUUUGGGGAACUAUUCCUUUAAAGCCUAUAUUCGAUGCAAAGAAAGUUAUUAUUAGAAAGGAGUUCCUGUGGUCCUUAAAAAGAGAGUACCGGUAGUAAGAUUUUUUUUUUUUCCUCUCAGGACUAAGAAAAAUAACAAAAAUCAAAGUAAUCUGUAAAUAUCUGAAAUGUCCACGUUUCAUACGUUCAAUUUAUCCUUGUCAAUUUUACUUUUUCUCUAUUCUAGUGGUCAAUGGCCAAUACGAUAUCUAGAGAGCAAACAAAUCAGAUGUAUACAACAUUUGUAAAAAAAAAAAAAAAUAAGUGAAACAAACACUUAUUUACUCAAAUUUGCAUAAACUUGAAGAAAAAAAACCCAUGAAAACAAAGUGUUGACUAUCCAGUGACAAAUCUAUAAGGAGAUUUUUGAACUGACACAAGGGAAAGUUAACACUUCUGUUAACUGGCCAAGCGAACGCAUCAUGAAUCUCAAAAUGGCCAGAUACCAGCCGAUUAAUCGGCCUAGCCGAUAUAUAUAUCAGUCUAUCACUAUUCUUUACAUAUUAAACCAGUUAUGAACAUCUUGUACGUUUGCAUCUUUGCCUUUGCAUCAAAUACCUUUUAACUUUCUCCUGAACGGCUUCAAACAGUUAGAGAAAUAUUUAACAAGAAAAAAUGCAUGCAAGCCAAUGAAGCUGGCCUUUCGAUUUUGUUUGUCAUCGCUGAUCAAGAGUUGAUUCAACAAGCAUUUUACAUUUCAAAAAGGAUGAUUAUUGAUUCACCUGGAGCUUUUAAAUGCUGAAUAACUGCAUGAUUGCUGACUAGCUCAAUCCAAAAAAGAUAAUUCUGCAGUGCCAGCGCAAACACACCGGCCCCGCAUCCCGUUAUGGGCCCUGCCGGUCCUGCUGUGCUGAAGCCAUCUGGUUAAGUAAUCAGGGGAAGUGGGAAUAUGGAAAAAUGGAGAGAGUGGAGACGGAUGUGGAGGUUGAGGUGUGCUGUACCUAACUCACACAUGGUUGCUGGGAAAGGAUCAAAGAAAGGUACGGUGAGGCCUGUUUUUCUUCCCAGAUGCGGUUCGUUCCCGAAGAAGGGAGAGCGCAGGAUAUGCAGUUCGACUUCCAAGUAAUGAGCAUUCGGGGAUCAUCUCUGGCCCAAUGAAAACAAGCGUGGUUGUUGAGUCACAGAUUGCACUGUUGGUUUUAUUUCACUUUUUAGAGAUGGACUGUAAAAUAUAUUCGGCCUUGACAGUUUGAAAACAGUCUUUACGAACUUGAUUAAAUAGUUUGGGUUAUUUGUCCUCUUGAAUUUGGAGUUAAGUAGCACACAUUGUCAGGUUUUUACAAUUUGAUUAUUUAUGCGUUGGGAGUUUUGAUGAUGGUUCAGGAGUUUUAGUGCUGGAUAUUCAAAGCAGUAGAGCAGAUUUAGACCCAUAAGCAAAAAUGGUUCAUGGGCAUUUGCCUCCACUUCCUCUCUUUACACAAGAAAGAACUUUUGUAUUUUUGGUCUUGAUGACCUCCAAUGCUUCAAACAAGGUUUAUAUUUUAAGAAAUGUGACUUGUUUUUUUCUUCAUUUUCAGGUCAUCCUCAUGAAUCCUGUACAAAAGCCCUCCUUCAUGAAGGAAAAUGUUUUCUGUUUAGUUGUCUGCCUAUUGCCCAGAACUCUUCUUGUGAAAAUAUCACGAUAAUACAGGAACUACUGACAAAUCAAGAGUUCGUCUAUGUAGACAGUAAUCAGCCUUCUCUAAACGGCUCUUUUACUAAUACCACAGAACAAUCAACACCUACAGCUAACGUCUCGGCCUCCAGCACUUCCGCUUCCACAAAUCCGCCUAGUAUACAAAACCAGUCAACUACUAUUGUGAUCAUCAAACUGCAGACAACCCCAUCAGACCAAGCUUUUACUGAACCAGCAGUUUCUCCAGCAUUUGCCAUACCUGCCACCAUUCCAACAAGAACAGCCACAACAACUACAAACACAACAAAAACCUCCACGACAACCAAACCACCCACAACCACAACUAAACCCUCUACAACAACAUCUAAUAUAACCACCACUCCAACAGUUGCACAAACUCCAAAACAUCUUUCUUUACCUUCACCAUCAGGGACCAAAACAUCCUCCAGCGUCUCACCAUUAGUGCCUACAAUACCUCCAUCCACCACUUCCACAAAACUACCCCAACUGCCUCCUAUUCCAACAUCCUCAGAAGAUAAGCCAUUGCCAACCACACUAACAACCUCAACGAGCCCCACAAUAGUGGCAUCCACACUGCCUAAGGACAUUCCCAAAGGGGACCAAGAUAGAACUGACAAAGCCAUAGUAGAAGUGGCUGGAGACCCUCUGAGCAGUCACCUGUUUAACACCAGCUCUCUGCUGGCUGUUCUACUUUUUGGCCUCCUUUUAUUUGUGGUCAUGGUCACACUGUUUCUCAAACAAGCGUAUGAGAGUUACAGGCGAAAAGACUACACUCAGGUAGACUAUCUCAUCAAUGGAAUGUACUCCGAUUCGGGGGUCUGAUGAGGUGGUUAAUGUUUCAGUAUCAAAUUGGUUUUUUUUUUGUUUUCCAGGAUUUUGAAGCACAUUGACAUUGAGGCCCACAGACUUUAGUCAGGGUAGACACCAUAUUUAAUUUGACACAAAUGAAAUUAAGGCUCUAUGGGACAGAUGUACAGUCCAAUUAAUGGUUUGUAUUGUUGUACAUAUAAUUUUCACAACCCAUGUUCACCCGAAGGUGUAUUUUCAAUGUUGCGUUGGUUGAAUGUUGGACACCAAGGUAUACAACAAUACAAUCCAUUGAACCAACUGUAUCUAUCCGUCACAGCCUCCUUUUCAGUUGCAUUAAAUUAAAUAUGGAUAUACCUUGACUAAUGCCCAUUGUUAUGCUGAAAAUUAGAAGCACUCACAUUUGAAAUGCUUUAAAAGCCCUGUACCACCUCAUUAUUUAACUCAAGCUGGUGCUCAAAAAAAAAAAAAUGUGUUAAAUUGGUAUGACAUGUAUCUUUUAUUUCUAUGCAGAUUAAGCUUCCAUGUAAUUCCUUGGCACAUGGGGCUAAAGCCUUAGUAUAAACCUAGCCCUUAUCCUUCGUUCAACGAAUGUCAUUACGAGGGAUUCAUAGUGCAAUAUUUGGAAACCUUUGUCUUGGUCUAAUAUGUUCAGUGUUUCAUCUGCAGCUAAUGAGUUUGGCUGCAAUAAUUGCCUUUAUGUUUGUCAGAACAGUUCAGGAACAUUUGAAGAAUUGUUUAUGAAUUAACGCCUUUGAAUAGUUUUUUUGUUUUGUGUGGAGAUAGAGAAUAUUUGUCAAACCAGGUAUUGUGGCACUGAAGACCAUGACUGUCAAGCCAAGGGAAUAACCCAGCCAUUGUGUAUUUAGUGUCUGGAACAAAGAAAAGAUUAUGAUAUUAGUGUUUGAGAUCAAAGGAAGGGAUGGGGGUAUGAUAGUUUGAUAUGUGCCAAAUUGUUUUUGUAAGUCUUAAUAGAUGCACUGUAUAAAAAAUGUAAAAAAGAUAUAUAAAAAUAAAGAAAAUAUACUUUGUAAGAAAAGCA